GACGAACCGGACAAACGUUAUUCGGAAUUACUGGGCUUAAAGGGUUUGUAGGCGGCCUUGUAAGUCAGGCGUGAAAUCCCUCGGCUCAACCGAGGAAUGGCGCUUGAUACUGCAAGGCUUGAGGGAGACAGGGGUAAGCGGAACUGAUGGUGGAGCGGUGAAAUGCGUUGAUAUCAUCAGGAACACCGGUGGCGAAAGCGGCUUACUGGGUCUCUUCUGACGCUGAGGAACGAAAGCUAGGGGAGCGAACGGG
This 253-nucleotide ribosomal RNA is filed under the name uncultured bacterium. Its description in RNAcentral is "partial 16S ribosomal RNA". It matches the Rfam family "Bacterial small subunit ribosomal RNA", at positions 524 to 776 of the family's 1533-position model. The record is from RNAcentral.